Long non-coding RNA from Clupea harengus (Atlantic herring), 968 nucleotides. The record is from Ensembl. Lineage: Eukaryota; Metazoa; Chordata; Actinopteri; Clupeiformes; Clupeidae.
CGCUAAACGAUGCACACCUGUAACUCACGUGACCCAUGGUUAUUAUUGAAACGAGAACGAGGGCGUCGUGCCUUUAUAAGACUGCGUUAAUGGUUCCGUGGAGUUAUCCCUUCCGUUGUUGUUCUUUGAUUGUUAAACAUGGCUUCAUUUGCAAAGGUGGUUGUGUGUGUCCUCAUUGCUUGUGUCUGUAAUGCAUUCGGUUUUCCGAAGAAAGAUGUGAACUUUAAGGCCUCUGCAGUUGACCGCCAAAGUGAUGAUGUGGUUGUCACCACAACACCCAAUCCCCACAACCAGACCACCUCUGCCCCUACUGAAGCUGGUGAUGGAGCAAGUGAAGAUGGAGCAAGUGAAGAUGAUGCAAGUGAAGAUGAUGCAGAUGAUGAUGAUGAUGCAAGUGAAGAUGCUGUGGCUACCACCCCAACACCAAAUCCCCCAACUACAUCUGACCACACUGCAGCUACCGAUGAUGCAAGUGAGGGUGCUGUGGCUGCCCAAACUGGAACUACUGUAUCCCAUACGACUGAAGUCUGAUUCGACUGCUCCUCUGGUCACAAUGACCUGUCUGGACUUUUUGCCUCUACAUGUUCACUGCAAUAAAGGACAGAUUUGUAUUUUUUUUUUAAUCAAAUGUUGUCUUGCCUUUUUCAAAUUGAGGCCUUGUCCUGUUUUGGUAGUGGAGAUAACUGACGCCUCUUUCCUAACGCACUACAUUUCUGGCAACUUAUAAUGCAUAGUGAACAUGUAAUAAUUCGGUGGUAUGAUCCCAGGAGAACAUUUUUAAGAAACAAAUCACAGAAUUGUGGUUCCUCGCCGUUUUUUUUUUAAUAUAAAUCGAGGCUUUCCUCAUAAUACCGCAAGAACAAAAAGGAAAUAAAAACUAAACGAGUCAAUUCCUCAAAAUGAUAUGAAUUGCUACUGCUGCACUCGUAAAACUUCUAACUAAACUGAAAUUAAAAACCAAACUGAAA